This 347-nucleotide ribosomal RNA is filed under the name uncultured bacterium. RNAcentral's name for it is "partial 16S ribosomal RNA". It matches the Rfam family "Bacterial small subunit ribosomal RNA", at positions 338 to 682 of the family's 1533-position model. The record is from RNAcentral.
CCUACGGGUGGCUGCAGUGAGGAAUAUUGGUCAAUGGCCGUAAGGCUGAACCAGCCAAGUAGCGUGCGGGAUGACUGCCCUAUGGGUUGUAAACUGCUUUUAUGCGGGGAUAAAGGGGGCCACGUGUGGAGGUUUGCAGGUACCGCAUGAAUAAGGACCGGCUAAUUCCGUGCCAGCAGCCGCGGUAAUACGGAUGGUCCGGGCGUUAUCCGGAUUUAUGGGGUUUAAAGGGUGCGUAGGCGGUUCUUUAAGCGUGCCGUGAAAUGUCGGGGCUCAACCAUGGGCCUGCGGCGCGUCCUGGUGCCCUUGCGUGCGCGUCCGGCAGGCGGCCUUCGUGGUGUAGCGGU